CCUACGGGUGGCAGCAGUGGGGAAUAUUGCGCAAUGGGCGAAAGCCUGACGCAGCGACGCCGCGUGAGGGAUGAAGGUCUUCGGAUCGUAAACCUCUGUCAGCAGGGAAGAACGGUCACUGUGCUAAUCAGCAGUGAAUUGACGGUACCUGCAAAGGAAGCACCGGCUAACUCCGUGCCAGCAGCCGCGGUAAUACGGAGGGUGCGUGCGUUAAUCGGAAUUACUGGGCGUAAAGCGCUCGUAGGCGGUAUGUCAAGUCAAGGGUGAAAUCCCCGCGCUCAACGUGGGAACUGCCUUUGAAACUGGCAAACUGGAGUGUGUGAGAGGAUAGUGGAAUUCCAGGUGUAGGAGUGAAAUGCGUAGAUAUCUGGAGGAACAUCAGUGGCGAAGGCGACUAUCUGGCACAUAACUGACGCUGAGGAGCGAAAGCGUGGGUAGCAAACAGGAUUAGAUACCCGGGUAGUC
This 465-nucleotide ribosomal RNA is filed under the name uncultured bacterium. RNAcentral's name for it is "partial 16S ribosomal RNA". It matches the Rfam family "Bacterial small subunit ribosomal RNA", at positions 338 to 795 of the family's 1533-position model. The record is from RNAcentral.